AAAUUUCAAACUAAAUUUGUACUUGUUUUUCAUGUUGUGGUGAUUUUUUCAUUCGCAGGGAGUGUGCACCAGAAAUGCUAGCCUUUGUCCACGGGACAAGUUGCCUGAUGGUGAUCAAAAAGUGGACUCAAUAUGAUUAAAUUGUUUUACUAGAUGAGAUUUUUCCUAACUUCUGAUCAGGAGGUGAGGUUUUUUUUACUGGUCCUUUCUGGCCUGCAGAAUUAGUUCUACAGGUUUCUAGUACUAAGAGUAAGUAACUGUAGGAUUAAAUGCAAAUAAAUACAUAAAUCAGAUUAAAUGAAAUACAAAGGAGCUUUUUGAAAACACUGCUUUCAAAAGAAAACAAAUCUGGUUCUGAGGAGACAGUUGGGAAGCAUAUAUGUAUAUUUUUAAUAUUCACGUUCAAGAGAGAUUAAAGUAUUCUUGUUUGUAAAUACAUGUAUAUUCUUAUAAAGAAAUUUGAAAACAGAGAAAGUAUCUUAAACACAACAUAUGUUUCCACUGAUUUUCAUUUGUUUUCUUCAGUGACAAAUCCACUUCAUUAUCCUGAUUGGGAUUGCAGGCUAGUACUGAUAGGGAAAAAUGAGCUCUUUGCCAUAUUACUUAAUAAGUUAAUUCAGGUUAGUUAGCUUGGUUAUUUUGUGCAGGGGACAGGUGUUAGCCUCUGGCAGAAGUAAUACAUGAUUUUUGAGAUCUUGUGUCAUUUUUUGUCUGCUGUUGGUUAGGAAAACAUUUCUACCACGCAGCCAAGCUUUGUAUAUCAAAAGUCAGUAGUAUGAAAAUCAGUGAGGAAGAGCAAAUAGAGUCUUUUUCAGACUUAGAAUGUAGGAUUUUUUUGAGAUUAAGGCAGUAUACAAGAUAUUGUUGUAAGCACUUUCAGGUCACUCAGUGUUACUUAUAAAAGUUACCCUACCAAACCUUAACACCAUCAGUAGAGAGCAAGAGACAUGCACUGGUUUCUCUAUGUGGUGAUUCAGAAUGUGAAGCCUUCUUGGAAUUGCCUUCUGAGGAAGAUUUUUUUUCUCAGUGGCUCUACGAGAAGGUAUUAGCUGGCUAAUGUUAUCUUAAAAAUACACACCUCUGGGUAUGUAAAGCUGGGAAAACUUAAUGUGUGCUGUGUUUUUUAUCAAUGAGUAAUAUUUCCAAAGUAAACAUAUAGCAGAUAAAGGAAGCUUUUUAGCAUUCAGCAUAAUACCUUCCCUACUCGGAGAUGCAUGCUCAGUGUGGCCUUGCAAUACUUAUCAGUGCACAUACAACUACAAUGGUUUUAAUAUAAUGGUGUACAUGCACAAUAGCAAAGAAAGAGUAGUUAAUACCAUUGUUAAGCCAAAGAUAAAGAGAUUCUCCCUGCUAUUAGAUGUAAUUACUGUUCAGGGUUUCACAAAGGCUCUUUUAAAGAUGUUACAUUUCUUCCUCUUGUAAUACACAAAGAACAGAGAAAUCAUGGUUUAAAUGAUCUUGAUGUUCAUGGAGAACAUAAUGAAAAAAAUCCUCUUUUAAUGUUUUAAUGUUCUUUUAAGUGGCUUUAAUAACCACUUAGUUAAAUAGAAUUUGUUAUCAUUUUAAGAGAUUAAUUCUAGUCUGACAAUUUUUGUCUAAGAAGUUUGACAAUUGAAUUCUAUGACAAUUAAUCAUCCAAUUGGAUACAAUUUUGUUUCACAUUUAUAUAUUUUUUUUUCUGUUUAAGCCAGUGGUAAGUCUUGAAAACAUUGUGUUCCAGGUGAUAUAAAUAUAUUUUUCUAUUUACAGUUUUUUGAUUUAGCUACAGCAGAAAUGAAUGCUCAGCCCUUUGCAGGUUUCGAAUAUCCAUUUCUCUUAUGCUGGAGAAUAUGGCUAUAUUAGUGAAAAAAUACGUUAAACUUGAAGAAAGUGGGGACAGGGAAAAUACUGGAGACUGCUGUGAAAGAACAUUCACAGGUGUACAUAGUCUUAAAAAAACAAACAACAUCAACAAAAAACAGUAGAGGGAGGACAAACAAAAGCCCUAUUCUUUUGUUAUGUAGCAAAUUAAAAAUAAUCUAUUAAUUGAAUUGGCAGAUCAUCCUGGAAAGAUAGCACUUACGUUACAGUGGUCUGUAACCUCUGGAAAAAGAAUUAGUUUCCUGGAAUUAGUUUAGAUUCUGAUCCUAACUUUCCUAAUUCAUAAGUGGCUCUUUUCUACCUUCUGUUGUUACUCUUCUGUAAACCCCAGUUCCCUCUCUAUUUUGAUUUAUUUUGUUUUGAUGUGUCCUAUGAUUCUGUGUUCAGGAUUAUUGUGGUUACGAGGUAAGAAACAUUUCAUGUGCAUUGAAAAAAAUAUUUGCUUAAGUAGUCUUAUGUACAUAAUUAAGUGCUAGAAUGUAAUGUUCUUAAUUUUGUUUUGCUCUUAGACUACUAGGGCAUGUCAUUUGAAUACAUAGUUUUUGCAGCUCUCAUCCCUUUUGAACUUCAAUCUAUAUGUUAAUAUCUGCAAAUAGUGGCAACAGAACAUUUUUGGAACUGAAGUGUAUCAUGACUAGUGGGAGUUGGAAGAGAACCUUUUGGUUUGCAGCAUGACGCUUUGCUAUCUUCAAGCACAAUGGUAAAAUCUAUCUCUGUACAGAAGGUCAUUGUAAGUCCUAUUUCCACUUGAUCAGAAAGUCCAUCAUGAUGGAAAAUAGAUAUUGCUCUGCUGACUUUAUGGGAGCAAACUCAGGUGUCCGAGUUUGUCUCAGAAACAAACUGAUGCAGGUCCUUGAAAGUUCAAGUGGAGAACAUACUUUUAGCUCUGCCUUUUGCAUAAGACUGAAUUUUACUGCAGGUUUAUGAAUUAUCCUACAUAAAAGGCCAUCCUUCAUCAGAUUUUACCAUAUGGUUAAAACAUAUAUGCAUAUUUUUUCUGUUACUUCCAGGCACUGUGAAGCAGCUGGUAUUAAUGAAUAAAAAUAGCCAGCAAAAUCAUGGCGUGUGGUUGCUGGAAGGAACAAUUUAUAGUUAGGAAUCUUGUAGGUUACUUGAAGGAAGAAGAAAGGAACAACCCAAAACAUGUGACCUCUGAAAACGUGGAUGAUCUCUAAGUAUAAUUUGUAUUUUGAGCACCUGUACUGCUCAAGGCAACGUAAUAUGGAACUGAGUAGAAGACAGUAAUUCAAUUCCUACUGCUAAAUUUUAUAGGGAAGGGAAUUGAAUACUGGUGGGCGUAGUGGCUUUGGGUUUUUUUGUUUUUGUUUUUUUUUAAUGCAAACACUAUUGCUGUAGUUUUCUCUCAUGCUGACCAUUGUAUCAAGAUAUCUUGGAGAUAUUUGAAAGAGAAAUGGAUGUGCCUUUUGUCUUUCAAAAUAGAUUAAAUAUAACUUAAAGAUAGAACUUAAUAUAACUUAUAUAAAAAUAUAACUUAAAGAGCAUUUAUGGUGGAUCUAGUAGACAAAACUAUGAGAUUUAGUAAUUUUUUUUAAUAGCUCUGUGUUACAUUUUUAUCUUUCUAAAAAAUAAAGUAGAUCUGCCUUAAUUUACUAAGAGUAAUAACAAAAUAUAAGAUCUUUCUGUUACAGAAAAUGACUUUAAUAGGCUUUAGCGUUUCAUAACUAAUAGCUACCAAGUUCAGUGGAUAAGCAGCAAAUUUUGUACCUUCACUUGGGCAUCGUUUUUUUUUUUUUUGUUUUGUUUUUCUUUGUUUUGUGUGGGACAAGAAGUAGGUCAAGGGCAGUGGUUCAAACAGUUAAAAGGCCAGUAUAACAUGAAAAUUCUGUAGGGUGGGAAAGCUAAAAAGUAUUAUGGCAUUGUAAUGAGAAAAAUAUUGAGACUUAAUUUGCAGGUGUAGCAAAAUGCUAAGUCACAGCUUGAACCAGUGAUUGACCACCUGGUGGGAAGGCAGGGCCAACCCAGCGGAGCUCAGGUGCAUGCAAUCUAUCUGAGUGAACAGAAUGGGUAGAGCCAGGAGCCACCCUUUCCCAGACUUCACUUAAUGGCUGCCAGUGGAAGCAAGGGUAUUUUGCUCUGGAGAUUCCUGCAUGCUUGAAGCCUUCUGAAGUGGAAAAAGUGAUUCACUCACAGAGGUUGAUGGUGCAGACUCUCAAACUGGUUGUAGAAAGCACUGAUGUUAAUGCAGAGGGAACAAGCUGCCCAAUGGAAACUACUGGUUUGCAAGUUCAAACUUAUACUGCUUCGUGCCUUUAAGAGAAAGCUAAAGGGAGACUUUGUUACUUUCUACAGCUAUCUGAUGGGAGAUUUGGAGAAUACGAAGGCAGGCUUUUAUUGGAGGUGGAGAACUGAAGGUUGAAUGUUGUUUACAGAGAUUCCUCUUGAAAUUUUGGAGCAGUUUGGUUGAGUAAUGCUUCAGUUACAAGUUGCAUUUUGAGAGCUGAAUGGGAACCACAUGAAGAAGGCAGAUAUAAACGUUCACAAUACAAAAAUCUGCAAUGCUGUUUUUGCUGACACUUUCUCCCCCUUCCCCAGGGCUGGUAAAACUUGUAAUACUGUUUGAAUGUAAGGAAGCUAAGCUGACAAGAAGAAACUGGGAGAAGAAUUGAUAAAGAUCAGACUUUGCAACUUCUGUCAAGCUUGUUGGGCCUUUAGUUCUUAAUCACCUAGAAAAGAUGUGGUAACAUCUAAUUACUGAAGUUUUUGACGAUGCUGAACUGAAAAUAAUCUAGAAAUGCCAGCUCUCCUGAAUCCAUGAAAUCAGAAAUAAAGAUUGAAAAUGAUAGUCUUUGGUAAAUGAAAGGCUUAAAAAUAUAAACCAAAAGCAGAUAAAUACAAAGAAAAGAAAUACACAUGUUCAGUGUGACAGAGAAGUCUGAAAAUCCUAUCACAGAAUGGAGAGAAAGGGUAGUUAAAAAUAAUUUUGUAAAGUGGUAUUUCAGGCAAAUGCUACUGAAUGGUUGCUAACGUGAAGACCCUUGAGGCCUUGUCUGAUCUGUAAAGCUUGAUCGUUGUUCUGUAGUGUAUGGCUGUGAUAAGGCCGAACUUGAACUGCAGUGCUCAGUGAGAGGCAUCUUGUUGAUGGAAUUCUGAUAAAGGAGAAGGGAUGCAGUGAAAUCCAUCUCCAUCUUUGCACAGGAGAAUCUCAUAAAAGCUCAUUCACUUAUUCAUGUUCACAUUUCCAUAUUUGUGUAAAAACUUUAACGAGAAAUCUGAUGACUUUGGCAGAACUUAAUAGCCUUUCCCUCUCUCCUCACCAGCAGCUUUCUGAUGUAGCUACGAAGUGAAUCGCCAUAUGCCUCAGGCUUCAGUUCUGCUGUAUCUUCUGCUUUAAUUUAGUAGUCACAUCAUUGUAUUAUCUUCUCCAGAUGUGGUUUUGUUACAUCUGGCUAAAAUUCUAUUUGGCAUAAAAUUUUGAGAUCUUAGAACUUAUGUUCAUGCAACUUUGGGAAAAUAUAGGGAUGUGGACUAGAAAAGACUGAAAGGAUAUCAUAAUAGAAAAGAAACAGCGAGGUGAGAAAAUGAUGUGCUUUGCAGUUGGGACUUUGCAAGGGCUAUUUUUUAACUCUUUGUCACAGAAUGUUUUGAUAUAUUGAUGUUUAUGUGCACAAAGAAGGUGGCUCUGCAGAGGAGAUAAACUUGAUAGUGUAGGUCCUUUAUUUAACUCAGAGACAAGAUGAUGCUGGGAGCCAUUUUCCAAGCAGUGAAACAGCAUUCCAACAGUGAGUGAACAAAGAUAUAUUUCUGUUUGGACUUAUUUUGUUGCUUGGUAUUUAGUCUGUUUGCAGCAGGCAUAUUAAUAUCACCAUGACUUUAUCAGUUCAAAUCCCACGUAAAGCUAUUAAGUAGGCACUGGCUUUGUUGCUAUUGCUCUGAAUGUUGUGGCUUCAUUAUUGAAAUAUAAUGGUUAAAUGGGGUGUAGCAUUCUCUGUGGCCAUCUGUUCUUUUAAAGGUUUGUUCUGGCAAAAUUAAAAUGUACGUAUAUAAAUAAAAAGCAUUAUUUCUGUUAAGUAAACAUCCAAAAAAGUUCAAAUGCCAAAAAAUUACUUUCAUUUGCUUUCUUCCUGUGAGUGAAUUUAUUAUGUCUCCUAGAACACUGAGAAACAAACGUUUUUGUGUAUAAUUAUACUGCAGAUAAAUAUUUGAUUCUGCAUCCACUGUGCAGCCUUCAUCAGAUUGUUGCAAUCCAGUUAUGAAAAAAUUGUGCUUUUCCUCAUUUAAAAAAAAAAAAAAUCCCACUAAAAUAUGGGGCUGGAGAGUUGUGUCUUGAAAAGGGCAGUCCUCAUGUCUCAGUUUAAUUGCAGUUGUACUGUUUUCUAUUCUUUUUGUUCUGGAGGAGUGCAGUGUGAAAGGUUUUGAUUUUC
This is a long non-coding RNA of Lagopus muta (rock ptarmigan), 6242 nucleotides long. RefSeq lists it as uncharacterized. The record is from RefSeq and is a predicted model, not a curated record. NCBI's taxonomy places the organism in Eukaryota, Metazoa, Chordata, Aves, Galliformes, Phasianidae. The transcript is spliced from 6 exons.